UGGGGAAUUUUGGACAAUGGGCGCAAGCCUGAUCCAGCAAUGCCGCGUGCAGGAUGAAGGCCUUCGGGUUGUAAACUGCUUUUGUACGGAGCGAAAAGGUCUGCCCUAAUACGGUGGGCUAAUGACGGUACCUGAAGAAUAAGCACCGGCUAACUACGUGCCAGCAGCCGCGGUAAUACGUAGGGUGCAAGCGUUAAUCGGAAUUACUGGGCGUAAAGCGUGCGCAGGCGGUUAUAUAAGACAGAUGUGAAAUCCCCGGGCUCAACCUGGGACCUGCAUUUGUGACUGUAUAGCUAGAGUACGGUAGAGGGGGAUGGAAUUCCGCGUGUAGCAGUGAAAUGCGUAGAUAUGCGGAGGAACACCGAUGGCGAAGGCAAUCCCCUGGACCUGUACUGACGCUCAUGCACGAAAGCGUGGGGAGCAAACA
This 427-nucleotide ribosomal RNA is filed under the name uncultured bacterium. RNAcentral describes it as "bacterial SSU rRNA". It matches the Rfam family "Bacterial small subunit ribosomal RNA", at positions 355 to 774 of the family's 1533-position model. The record is from RNAcentral.